RNAcentral lists this ribosomal RNA (808 nucleotides) under Aestuariibacter sp. MMRF660. Its description in RNAcentral is "bacterial SSU rRNA". It matches the Rfam family "Bacterial small subunit ribosomal RNA", at positions 242 to 1042 of the family's 1533-position model. Lineage: Bacteria; Pseudomonadati; Pseudomonadota; Gammaproteobacteria; Alteromonadales; Alteromonadaceae. The record is from RNAcentral.
UAGCUAGAUGGUGAGGUAAAGGCUCACCAUGGCGACGAUCUCUAGCUGUUCUGAGAGGAAGAUCAGCCACACUGGGACUGAGACACGGCCCAGACUCCUACGGGAGGCAGCAGUGGGGAAUAUUGCACAAUGGGGGAAACCCUGAUGCAGCCAUGCCGCGUGUGUGAAGAAGGCCUUCGGGUUGUAAAGCACUUUCAGUUGUGAGGAAAAGUUGGUAGUUAAUACCUGCCAGCCGUGACGUUAGCAACAGAAGAAGCACCGGCUAACUCCGUGCCAGCAGCCGCGGUAAUACGGAGGGUGCGAGCGUUAAUCGGAAUUACUGGGCGUAAAGCGCACGCAGGCGGUUUGUUAAGCUAGAUGUGAAAGCCCCGGGCUCAACCUGGGACGGUCAUUUAGAACUGGCAGACUAGAGUCUUGGAGAGGGGAGUGGAAUUCCAGGUGUAGCGGUGAAAUGCGUAGAUAUCUGGAGGAACAUCAGUGGCGAAGGCGACUCCCUGGCCAAAGACUGACGCUCAUGUGCGAAAGUGUGGGUAGCGAACAGGAUUAGAUACCCUGGUAGUCCACACCGUAAACGCUGUCUACUAGCUGUGUGUGAAUUUAAUUCGUGCGUAGCGAAGCUAACGCGCUAAGUAGACCGCCUGGGGAGUACGGCCGCAAGGUUAAAACUCAAAUGAAUUGACGGGGGCCCGCACAAGCGGUGGAGCAUGUGGUUUAAUUCGAUGCAACGCGAAGAACCUUACCUACACUUGACAUGCAGAGAACUUUCCAGAGAUGGAUUGGUGCCUUCGGGAACUCUGACACAGGUGCU